GGCGAACGGGUGAGCAACGCGUAGGAAUCUACCUAGUAGAAGGGGAUAGCCCGAGGAAACUCGGAUUAAUACCGUAUACGUCCUUAGGGAGAAAGAGGGCUUAGCUUUGAUGCUCUCGCUAUUAGAUGAGCCUGCGUAAGAUUAGCUUGUUGGUGAGGUAAAGGCUCACCAAGGCGACGAUCUUUAGCUGGUCUGAGAGGACGAUCAGCCACAUUGGGACUGAGACACGGCCCAGACUCCUACGGGAGGCAGCAGUGGGGAAUAUUGGACAAUGGGCGCAAGCCUGAUCCAGCCAUACCGCGUGUGUGAAGAAGGCCUUCGGGUUGUAAAGCACUUUAAGUAAGGAAGAAAAGAGUAUUGUUAAUACCAAUACUCCGUGACAUUACUUACAGAAUAAGGACCGGCUAAUUCCGUGCCAGCAGCCGCGGUAAUACGGAAGGUCCAAACGUUAAUCGGAAUUACUGGGCGUAAAGCGCGCGUAGGUGGUUUAUUAAGUUGGGUGUGAAAGCCCCGGGCUCAACCUGGGAACUGCAUCCAAAACUGAUUCACUAGAGUACGAAAGAGGAAAGUAGAAUUCACAGUGUAGCGGUGGAAUGCGUAGAUAUUGUGAAGAAUACCGAUGGCGAAGGCAGCUUUCUGGUUCUGUACUGACACUGAGGUGCGAAAGCGUGGGUAGCGAACAGGAUUAGAUACCCUGGUAGUCCACGCCGUAAACGAUGACAACUAGCUGUUGGGAAGCUAUGCUUUUCAGUGGCGCAGCUAACGUCUUAAGUUGUC
RNAcentral lists this ribosomal RNA (777 nucleotides) under uncultured marine bacterium. RNAcentral's name for it is "bacterial SSU rRNA". It matches the Rfam family "Bacterial small subunit ribosomal RNA", at positions 97 to 869 of the family's 1533-position model. The record is from RNAcentral.